UACGGGGGGGGCAAGCGUUGUUCGGAAUUAUUGGGCGUAAAGAGCUCGUAGGCGGUCUGUCGCGUCGGCUGUGAAAACCCGGGGCUCAACCCCGGGCCUGCAGUCGAUACGGGCAGACUAGAGUGCGGUAGGGGAGACUGGAAUUCCUGGUGUAGCGGUGAAAUGCGCAGAUAUCAGGAGGAACACCGGUGGCGAAGGCGGGUCUCUGGGCCGUAACUGACGCUGAGGAGCGAAAGCAUGGGGAGCGAACAGG
RNAcentral lists this ribosomal RNA (253 nucleotides) under uncultured bacterium. RNAcentral describes it as "partial 16S ribosomal RNA". It matches the Rfam family "Bacterial small subunit ribosomal RNA", at positions 524 to 776 of the family's 1533-position model. The record is from RNAcentral.